This 482-nucleotide ribosomal RNA is filed under the name uncultured bacterium. RNAcentral's name for it is "partial 16S ribosomal RNA". It matches the Rfam family "Bacterial small subunit ribosomal RNA", at positions 30 to 507 of the family's 1533-position model. The record is from RNAcentral.
AUUGAACGCUGGCGGCAUGCUUUACACAUGCAAGUCGAACGGUAACAGCACUUCGGUGGCUGACGAGUGGCGAACGGGUGAGUAAUACAUCGGAACGUGCCUAGUAGUGGGGGAUAACUACUCGAAAGAGUAGCUAAUACCGCAUGAGAUCUAAGGAUGAAAGCAGGGGACCUUCGGGCCUUGCGCUACUAGAGCGGCUGAUGGCAGAUUAGGUAGUUGGUGGGAUAAAAGCUUACCAAGCCGACGAUCUGUAGCUGGUCUGAGAGGACGACCAGCCACACUGGGACUGAGACACGGCCCAGACUCCUACGGGAGGCAGCAGUGGGGAAUUUUGGACAAGGGGCGCAAGCCUGAUCCAGCAAUGCCGCGUGCAGGAUGAAGGCCUUCGGGUUGUAAACUGCUUUUGUACGGAACGAAAAGCCCUCUUCUAAUACAGGAGGGUCAUGACGGUACCGUAAGAAUAAGCACCGGCUAACUACGUG